CCUACGGGGUGCAGCAGUGGGGAAUAUUGGACAAUGGGCGAAAGCCUGACCCAGCCAUGCCGCGUGUGUGAAGAAGGCCUUCGGGUUGUAAAGCACUUUCAGUGGGGAAGAAAGCCUUGGGGCUAAUACCCUCGAGGAAGGACAUCACCCACAGAAGAAGCACCGGCUAACUCCGUGCCAGCAGCCGCGGUAAUACGGAGGGUGCGAGAGUUAAUCGGAAUUACUGGGCGUAAAGCGCGCGUAGGCGGUCUGAUAAGCCGGUUGUGAAAGCCCCGGGCUCAACCUGGGAACGGCAUCCGGAACUGUCAGGCUAGAGUGCAGGAGAGGAAGGUAGAAUUCCCGGUGUAGCGGUGAAAUGCGUAGAGAUCGGGAGGAAUACCAGUGGCGAAGGCGGCCUUCUGGACUGACACUGACGCUGAGGUGCGAAAGCGUGGGUAGCAAACAGGAUUAGAUACCCCUGUAGUC
This 465-nucleotide ribosomal RNA is filed under the name Vreelandella stevensii. RNAcentral's name for it is "partial 16S ribosomal RNA". It matches the Rfam family "Bacterial small subunit ribosomal RNA", at positions 338 to 795 of the family's 1533-position model. Lineage: Bacteria; Pseudomonadati; Pseudomonadota; Gammaproteobacteria; Oceanospirillales; Halomonadaceae. The record is from RNAcentral.